UACGUAGGGGGCGAGCGUUGUCAGGAAUUAUUGGGCGUAAAGGGCGCGUAGGCGGGUAUUUAAGUCUUGCGUGAAAGAUCAGGGCUCAACCCUGAGAGUGCAUAUGAAACUGGGUAUCUUGAGGACAGGAGAGGAAAGUGGAAUUCCACGUGUAGCGGUGAAAUGCGUAGAUAUGUGGAGGAACACCAGUGGCGAAGGCGACUUUCUGGACUGUAACUGACGCUGAGGCGCGAAAGCUUGGUGAGCAAACAGG
Molecule: ribosomal RNA, 253 nt
Filed under: uncultured bacterium
Lineage: Bacteria
Description: partial 16S ribosomal RNA
Rfam family: Bacterial small subunit ribosomal RNA
Source: RNAcentral